This 1001-nucleotide long non-coding RNA is filed under the name Lepisosteus oculatus (spotted gar). RNAcentral describes it as "lncRNA (ENSLOCG00000021558.1)". The record is from RNAcentral. Lineage: Eukaryota; Metazoa; Chordata; Actinopteri; Semionotiformes; Lepisosteidae.
GGGAAAGAGGACGCCCUGCUUGGCAACGCCUGCUCGUGCUCUCUAAAACUUCUCUUUUUCCAGUUUUCCCAGGGAGACUGGAGGAAGGGGUGUGUGCGUCCCGAGGGUGGGGGCAGCCCCGGCACUGGGAGCACUCCUAGGUGCGUGAAUUCCAGGAGGAGCCGCAGGCUCAUCCUUUAUCUCUUCCCUGCAGCGGCCUGGAUGAGUCUGUGAGUAAAACUUUAAACCAGGAGCGGAGAGGGAGGGAGGGAGGGGGGAGAGGGAGGAGGGCACAGGCUCGCUGAGAUGUGAUGAUGUCAGUACUUGCCUGGCUCUGGGUAUGUGUUUGUGGGAGAGAGAGAGAGCAGAGCUGUGCUCUAGCACACUGAGAGAGAGAGAGAGAGAGUACCAGGAGCAGAGCAUGCACAACACAAGGGAGAAAGGGACUCCAUUUUGGGAAGGAGAUUCCGGAGCCCUCCGUAAACGCAUCCCGCUCCCCCAUCGGAAGAAGCGCGUGUAGGAGGGGGCCGUGAAUGGGGAACAGCCUGUCCCGCGCGCAGGGCGAUCGGUGCGCCUGCAGCCCACCCAGACGCCCCAGGCCCUCGCUGUGAGCCCAUCACAGGAUUCCAGGUCAGCACUCCUCUUUUCACCUGUCGAUGAUGAUCUAGAAACUGAUGAGCACUGAUACUGUAUGUCAAAAGUAAGCUGCAGGGACUGGUGUCGGGCAUGUGGUCGCUGUCUGGUGACUCGAGCCCUGUGUCGUCAUGCAGUGGCCUGUCGGUCACUGGUGGAGAAGGAUGCAGGACAGGUCAGCAGUGGCUGGAGACUGAUUGAUUAAAGGCGGGGGAAAAUAAGGGAUUUAUACCUUAAAGAGUGGCCUUGUUUCACUAAGGGCUUUCCCUCAGGUGCUCAGAUGGGUCAGUCUGUGUUACCCUGCCUCGAUUUAGGUCCAGCGGUCUAUUUUCCUGCAGUACAAAUUGAUUUGUGUUAAUGCUGCCAAAUGCAGUUCAGGUCAAAUUGGG